GAGUUGUAAUUUAGAGAAGCGUCUUCCGCGCUGGACCGUGCACAAGUCUCCUGGAAUGGAGCGUCAUAGAGGGUGAGAAUCCCGUCUUUGGCAUGGACCCCAGGGCUUCUGUGAUGCGCUCUCAAAGAGUCGAGUUGUUUGGGAAUGCAGCUCAAAAUGGGUGGUGAACUCCAUCUAAAGCUAAAUAUUGGCGAGAGACCGAUAGCGAACAAGUACCGUGAGGGAAAGAUGAAAAGCACUUUGGAAAGAGAGUGAAACAGUACGUGAAAUUGUUGAAAGGGAAACGCUUGAAGUCAGUCGCGUCGACCGAGACUCAGCCUUGCCUUGGCUUGGUGUACUUCUCGGCCCGACGGGUCAGCAUCAAUUUCAAUCCUUGGAUAAUGGCGGGGGAAAGGUGGCACCUUUACAGGUGUGUUAUAGUCCUCCGUCGCAUGCAUGGGUUGGGAUUGAGGAACUCAGCACGCACCUUUGGUGUCGGGGCCUCGGCCUACGUUACGUGCUUAGGAUGUUGGCAUAAUGGCUUUAAACGACCCGUCUUGAAACACGGACCAAGGAG
Molecule: ribosomal RNA, 556 nt
Filed under: Russula callainomarginis
Lineage: Eukaryota; Fungi; Basidiomycota; Agaricomycetes; Russulales; Russulaceae
Description: partial large subunit ribosomal RNA
Rfam family: Eukaryotic large subunit ribosomal RNA
Source: RNAcentral